AGCGAACGCUGGCGGUAGGCCUAACACAUGCAAGUCGAACGGCAGCACAGGAGAGCUUGCUCUCUGGGUGGCGAGUGGCGGACGGGUGAGGAAUACAUCGGAAUCUACUCUGUCGUGGGGGAUAACGUAGGGAAACUUACGCUAAUACCGCAUACGACCUACGGGUGAAAGCAGGGGACCUUCGGGCCUUGCGCGAUUGAAUGAGCCGAUGUCGGAUUAGCUAGUGGGCGGGGUAAAGGCCCACCAAGGCGACGAUCCGUAGCUGGGCUGAGAGGAAGCUCACCCACACUGGAACUGAGACACAGUCGAGAGUCCUACGGGGGGCAGCAGUGGGGAAUAUUGGACAAGGGGCGAAAGCCUGAUCCAGCCAUACCGCGUGGGUGAAGAAGGCCUUCGGGUUGUAAAGCCCUUUUGUUGGGAAAGAAAUCCAGCUGGCUAAUACCCGGUUGGGAUGACGGUACCCAAAGAAUAAGCACCGGCUAACUUCGUGCCAGCCGCCGCCGUAA
This 506-nucleotide ribosomal RNA is filed under the name uncultured bacterium. Its description in RNAcentral is "partial 16S ribosomal RNA". It matches the Rfam family "Bacterial small subunit ribosomal RNA", at positions 29 to 523 of the family's 1533-position model. The record is from RNAcentral.